This 497-nucleotide ribosomal RNA is filed under the name uncultured bacterium. Its description in RNAcentral is "partial 16S ribosomal RNA". It matches the Rfam family "Bacterial small subunit ribosomal RNA", at positions 28 to 507 of the family's 1533-position model. The record is from RNAcentral.
GAUGAACGCUGGCGGCGUGCCUAAUACAUGCAAGUCGAGCGAACAGACGAGGAGCUUGCUCCUCUGACGUUAGCGGCGGACGGGUGAGUAACACGUGGAUAACCUACCUAUAAGACUGGGAUAACUUCGGGAAACCGGAGCUAAUACCGGAUAAUAUAUUGAACCGCAUGGGUCAAUAGUGAAAGACGGUUUUGCUGUCACUUAUAGAUGGAUCCGCGCCGCAUUAGCUAGUUGGUAAGGUAACGGCUUACCAAGGCAACGAUGCGUAGCCGACCUGAGAGGGUGAUCGGCCACACUGGAACUGAGACACGGUCCAGACUCCUACGGGAGGCAGCAGUAGGGAAUCUUCGGAAAUGGGCGAAAGCCUGACGGAGCAACGCAGCGUGAAUGAUGAAGGUCUUCGGAUCGUAAAACUCUGUUAUUAGGGAAGAACAAAUGUGUAAGUAACUAUGCACGUCUUGACGGUACCUAAUCAGAAAGCCACGGCUAACUACGUG